AUACUUUACAAUGUGACUAUUAAGUGCGAGAGGCAAAGCAAAGAGAGCAGAGGAAGGUUAUGGUUGGUUAUGGUUACUCUCAACGUCAACUUAAAGCUAGCAAAACGGUUUGAAGACAUAAUGACAAUAAUCCACGGGGAAGGGGGAAUCGACUGGAAAUCCUUCUUCGGGGUGCCUCUUCUACUUUCCACCCUCUUACUGUCUGUGGCAGGACAUACAAGGUGUUUCUGAGGCUGCAGUGGUGCUCUAACAUCACAUCGUUUGCCUGACUGGAAAUGAAGUGUGCAGUCUUACAUGAGGAAGUGACUCGUUGACGGCAGAAAUGAUUCAAGUGCUGCUUGCUGCAUCCCAGGGUUGAACUUUUCUACUUAAACUACAACUCAACGUACACCUAAUUUCACUCAGCGACGCCCCACAACAAAGACGUGCCACGCCCAUUCAAUCCCCGAGCAACACCAAUAACGGAACAAAAAGAGUCCGCCACACACCGAGGAUGGAUCAGCCUCGACAUCCAUCCGUAAUGAGCGCCACGCAGCCGGCUGUCUGCUUGUCCCGUGGGUGGACAUAUCUUUUGGAGGCCUGACAUAAAGGUAAUUGCUACAGUGACCAGAACUAGCCUGUAGAAGGUUAUUAAGCAACCAGUGACAUCUGGAUCUUCUGAAAAGAUGCCGUUCAAAUGCCUUAGCGGCAAGCAGCCCCCGGCUUGCUGUGAUGGGUUCUGUGCCGCGGGCGAAUGCUAAAGCAGCAUUUUCAUGUCCAUGAUAGAAUCUCUUUCAAGCAAGUCCAGUUGACAAGAAAGGCUGCCACUCAAAAUCUCCAAACUGCUUUUUUUGGGAGCAUGUAAUGUCUUUAUUUGCAGUCUGACUGGAUCUUUAAAUUAAAAUGAUCCACUUUUUUUUCCCGAUGUAGUUAUCCAAAUGUGCAUCUGGGGAGAAUUGGUUUCAGGCGUGUUUCUGAGGGUAAACAAAAUGGGCAAUUAACCUGCUCAUCAGCGCCAGCAGAGCAGUUCCAAUGAUGCACGCCGCUCUUUUUCAUGGAUUUAUCUGUGCAAAUUGACCUCACUUUGGUGCUGCAAUUCAUUUCUCUGCUAAUUUUCGAUGUCUGUGGCUCCAUUAACUUGACGCUUUUCUGUGUAGAAAAAAAAAACCUGCUAAUGGGAUGGAAAAUACACCAUGCUCACUAUUGCGGAUAGACAACUUUUGAAUUUGAACAUGUUUUAUCAAGGAUGCAAUGUCUCCACAUCAGAUUACGAUGAAGCUUGAUUGAUCUAACAUGACAAACAUCCCCUCCACUGCCAGAAUCCUCAGUGCCACAUCCUCCCCUUCGCAUCUUCCUUCUUGUGUUACGGGCAUUUCCUUUGUAAUGAUUCACAUCCAGAGCCAGUUCCAGGAGAGAAAGGCCCUGGAGGCACUUAGGCAGCCCAGUGUGAGAGACAAUACACGCCGCUGAAGAAUAGAUUGGUGCUCUGAUCACUGGAACAGCCUCACGCACCAAAGCCAUCACUUUUAAUCAGUUGUUGUGUCCAAGGAGACACAUGGCAGGUGCUUCAGCACUGUGCUGGAUCACAACAAAGCAUCCACACAGGAGGACCCGAACUCACCACACAAUGCCACCAUUAAAGGUAUGUGUGACGAUAGCAUCUAACCCCGUUUUAAUACGUACCAACAAUGACCCCAAAUAAUCAUUAUAUGACAACUCCGUUUCUAAUAUCGGAACAUUUUUGACAACAAUUCAUACACCAUCCAACAAGAGUCUUGCAGAAAGAUACACAGCGGAACCUCGGUGAGCAUACCUUUCAGUUUAUGUUGAAAAUGUAUACAAAAAUGUUAAAAUUCGUACAUGGUUUGCGUACAAUAUGGCGCAAGUCUUGUUGUGUUAACAAUACGCUGUACUACAAAACAUCCCAGGCUGUUAGCACGGGAUGCCAUUGUCCCCUGGCUCUUUUGCCCCAUCUAUGAUGUCAUCAGCAGUCGACUGUUGUUUUGUGCUCGGACAGUUACGCCACAGGUCUCUGCUUUUAUAAAAUAAGCCACUGUUGGCAACUUUUUAGUAGGAAAAAUAGGUAUGGGCUGUCUUGUAUUGAUUAAAGACGAGAGACUUGCAAAACACUGACUUUCGAUCACGUCUGUCUGGUGGCCCAAAGAAAAUGUUAGACUCAUUGGUGCAUGGGUAAGUACGCUAUUUAACGGAAUGUUGAUGCAUGCCGUGAUAUUUUCAAGUCAUUUGUAGUGGUGUAACAAUUUCUAUCACGAUUCGUGGUUGCCGAUACGAUAUUGGUUCAUUUUAAAACUAUACCAUGCAAAACGACUCAGUAAUUUUGAAUCGAUUCAGUAACUUUUUAGCCAAAAAUUCACCUGCUGUGACUGAAAUAAAUGCUUUCUGUUUUUUAUAUAACUCUCUGCAUUUUCAACUUCCAACAAUAUUUUAACUUUGGUUUUCGUAUGAAUUUAGCUUUUUUCUGCAAAAGUUCAGUAGCCACCUUCCUCAAAGAUUUUUUUGUUUGUUUGUUUUUGGAACUUUUUUGUUUUGAUGAUGGACUACUAUCUGCAGAACUCGGCAACAAAUGUUCCCAAAAUGUCCACAGAUUCCCAUUUGCUAGAACAGCCCACUCCUCAUUUCCUGUCCCAAUAUAACUCUGCUUGUUUUGCGCCCGUCUGCUUGAGCAUGCAACGACUGCAACCGGACGUGACGUCAAGUGCAACCCAACUAUUAGCGUUAUAUGUUGUUGCAAUAGACCUUUCACUUGCACCAUACUAGUUGGGCCUGAAUUACUGUACUGGCAUCCUCUGCUGAUUCUUGUCAUGUAGAGAAAUCCCUCAUUCCUACAUUCUUUCAACAUGUAGCGACGACAUGUCCCUAGGAUAGGAUAGACUCUGGUUUAUACGAUACAAAUACUAAAAUCUUUUUGAAUGACUCUGCCAUGACUCUGUGACCAUCAACCAAAUCAACAUGCUUGUGUGUAUAAAAGCCACAUAAAUCAUAAAUAAGUGCACACAUAAAAAACAGCAAAAAUCAGGUCUCAUCAGUCUCAUCACAUGGCCCGAGGCUGGCUAACAGACAGCGACGUUUCAGGUUCCUAAGAUCUCAGGUCACCUUGUCUAGGCAACUCGGUAACAUACUUCAUGAAUCCAAAUGCAUCUCUCAAGCCUUGUUGAAGGUCUCUGUAGGUUUGACAUCAGAACAAGCCCGAUCUUCACACAUGUCGAUUGAACUCUGACUCUCUGGUAGAGCAAGGCACCCCCUGCCAAUAAUACCAGUAAACUCAGUACCAGGAAAUAUGUUGAUGCCUAUGAAACGCAAAGACGCUCCCUUCAUAAGCACCCUGUUUACACAGCUGUCUGUCUGCUACUGUCCAAAUAUUCUGUUGAAGGUGAAGACGGCGAGCGAACAAGCUGAUAAAGAGGUGUUGAGGUAUAUUGCGUCUAAUACCUCAAAACCUUUACAGUUUUUCUUGAGAAAGAUGUAUCACAUUGUCGUGAAACAUAAUGAGGUGAAACAUAACAAGGUGGAGGUGAGGAGAUAUGGGGGGGGUACUUUCAUACAAUUAGCAACAUUUAAUUCAGAGUGGAAACUACCAGAGACUUUGUGCAUGUGUAUUUCUAAUUGAACACUAAGGCCAACUCCACUCAUACUUCUUAUUUUCAUAAACGCUUCAAUCUUUAAAUAAGUAAAAUAAGUAAAAAAACAAUUAGUAGUACUUCUGUAGUAAAGGAGAUAUCAUGGAAUUAGAAUUGAGUCGUAGAUUAGCCACACCACUAUAAGCCACAAGUUUUUAACGGUAGUACGUUUGACCUGAUCGUCAAAAUCAAGCAGCCAGUUAGUUUUUCCAGGCUUCCAAGCCAAAAAUAUACAUAAAG
Non-coding RNA from Doryrhamphus excisus (bluestripe pipefish), 3857 nucleotides. The record is from RefSeq and is a predicted model, not a curated record. Lineage: Eukaryota; Metazoa; Chordata; Actinopteri; Syngnathiformes; Syngnathidae.